RNAcentral lists this long non-coding RNA (1265 nucleotides) under Linum usitatissimum (flax). Its description in RNAcentral is "long non-coding RNA (LUSI_LNC003949)". The record is from RNAcentral. Lineage: Eukaryota; Viridiplantae; Streptophyta; Magnoliopsida; Malpighiales; Linaceae.
UCCUCGGCCACCUUCAUCAUCAGCUCGAAUCGAAAAGGUAUAAUAUCAUGCCUAAAUAGUUUCGAUUACUUUAUUUCACAUUGUCUACAUGAAUGGUUUUGAAUUUUUUCUUAAAGGACUUUAUUACAUUAUUAUUUAAUUUUCAUGGGUUUAAAUUUAUAUAAUUUCAAACCCUCGUGGUUGAUAUUUAAUAUUUGUAAAAGAGUAGUUACGUAAUUCAUUUAGGAAGGUAAUAUGUCACGAUCCACUUGGAAAUAUGCAUUUGAUUGAUUGAUAAAACCAUAUGCAGCGGCAAUAAACACGGUAAACCUACUUAAUAAACAAGAAUCACAUGUUUAUUAAACAAAGGACGAUUCAAGGUUUAACUACUACUUUUCUCGGCGGAAGCGGAAGGGUUUUUUCUCUUGAGAGGCGAAUUAAGGUUUUCAUAACCCUUAAGCUUUUGGCGUCCAUCGCCGUCUCCCUUUCACUGAACCUUCAUCCGACAACAGUACCAUCGUCAUCCCUAUCACGACUACACAAUCAAGGUAAGUCUAGGGUUUCAGCGAUCCCUAGGCGUUUUCGUUAGGGAUCGAUCUCUGCAUCGCUGCGUCGCUCUCCUCCCCUUACUCAUCAUCACAUUCGCUCACCCGACACCUCCCUCCUCUCCUCCCGUCGAUCACCAUGGCGAGCACUCCAACAGCUGUUGCGGAGACAACAAUGCAACGAUAGCUUGAUGCACUGCAGCUAACAGAGGCGGAGAACGAAAGCCCCUCCAAACAGAUGAAGAGUAUCGAUGAAAACUCAAUAAACCUGGCAACGGCAGGCCUGAACAACAGGUCCUGCUCCGAGGAGUGAUCUGCCGGCGAAAACUCACUCGAGGUAUCGGCCUCUUUGAGUGUUUGAAGUUUUUGGGUGUCCCCAAUUCGGGCUUCACCGAUCGUUUAUUGUUUUCUUAGUUUUGGAUGUUUCUUUUUGCUUGAACAACAAUUAUUUCUUAUUUGCUUUCACUUUGCUGUCGGGUAGAGCUUAGUGUAUGUGAUGUUAACCCGUGUUCAUGGAUUUCUAAAAAAGGGGUGAUGGGAAACACAAAAGUAGUAGCUCAAACUACUCUUUUGUGAGAUCGGGCUUCACCUGUUAUGAAUUGUAAUUCUUCUUGAGAUCGUUUGACAGAUUGAAUAUCAUUUGACUAAAAAUAUAAUAAUAUAAAUGGAGCAAUUUCGAAAAAAAAACUACUACUUUCCUAUAAAAAAAGAUUUAACUACCCACUGUGUUAGGUAACCCAA